Molecule: long non-coding RNA, 1501 nt
Organism: Zalophus californianus (California sea lion)
Lineage: Eukaryota; Metazoa; Chordata; Mammalia; Carnivora; Otariidae
Exons: 5
Source: RefSeq, a predicted model, not a curated record
UAAACAUCGUGAAGAGAGGAUUGAGAGAGGGAAGGAAAGCGGGGGAGGCUGGGAUUUCUCCAGCGCCGGGGGAAGGUGGCCGUGGAACAGGGCGGGGAACCUUCUGUUUGGGGGGCUGCCACCGUCUUGGUGACAGCAGUGGCUUCCCUCAGUAACUGCCUGGCGACGCUAGAACCGGGAGCAGAGCAGUGCUGGUAAAUGGCAUCGCCUGGGGGAUCCUUUUCCUUCCCACUCCCCUCUGAGCCUCUCUGCACCCGCUUUUCGGCGCCUGACAUCUUUCCCUUCCGGUUGGCUAUUGCCAGGCCUGGGGAGGAAAGCAAAAGGGAAGGCUUCCUCUGUCGGCGAAGUAUCUGGAAGAAUCUAGUAGAAUCUGGCAUCUAGUCUGCGGGCAGCCGUGUGGGUGGCUCUUCGGGGCUGCAUUUCCCGAAGCGUGUUCCCUUAAACACCGAUUCGUCCCGGCGUCCACGCAGCGAGCCUCAGCACCCUCGGAGAGCGCGGUCCUCACGCUCGGAGACAGCCCGCACAAAGAAACCGUUGCAGAAUUGGAGUGGAAGGAACAUGCCUUGCUCCCCAUUGCCAUCACCCAUCUUCCACUAAAGGCCAAAGAUUUGUCAAGCCUAGAGAUUGACUGAAAAGUACUUCAACACGCCAUUGAAUGCUUGAGCACAAACAAUCUACCCAAGGGCUUGCGUGCUUUCUUCAAUGAGGUGAAUGUGAGAACACAAUAAAUUAUAUUCAAAUGGAAGUCAUGGAGGAAACUUUCCUUUCCUUCCUCAUCCACAAAGCUGGUCAAUGGGCGCUAAAGCCCCGGGGAAGCAGCAUCUGUUGUAACUCAAGGAUUCCCCACUCGAGUCGAGGAUGAAAUUAACAGACGUGGAGCAGUUUGCAGCUCAACAUUUGUUCAAGUCUGACACAUGCACGCAUCAUUAGCAACUAUAUUUGAGGAGCAAGAUCAAGGAGGCCACGGCAGAGAUACAAUAGAAGCACAAUCACAAGGAACAGUGAACGUUUGCCGAGGGCUUAAUUUGGCCAGGCAUAUGCCAACGUGUCGAAUUCUCACAGCACCACCUGCAGGGCAGACUUCCUCCCUGGCUUUCUGUCAAGGUGUUGGGAUUGACCAAGAAACAGCUGUAAUAUGGAGUGGAGAUUUCUUCUGACUUUGCUCAGGAAGGGCCACCUCCCCAUGACAUGGGAGAACUGCAAAUACUUCCUUAUUUUUACCAACGCUGGGAAGAACUUGUGCAUUUCAGGAAACUAAGUACUUUUUCAGACAGGUAUAGACAACUCUGUAAACAGACAUGUUCCCCCCACCUCCACCCCAAUUUAAAGGCACAUGUCCAUUGCAGAACAUUUAGAAAGCACAGACAAGCAAAAAGUAGAAAUUACAAAUAUCCAGUAACUUUGGUAUCCUGAGAUAGCUUCUGAUAAUAUUUUGAUUUAUUCCCUUGCAAUUUACUUUUCUGUACAUUUUUACUCCUGCAUGUUUACACCCACCUUAAAA